GGGGGCGCCAUGGUUUCGACGUGGUCGGUUCUCCGGACGAGCUGCAAGCCGAGGUCUCCGGUCGGCCUCGUAAAUCCACCGGAAAACAAUGCAAGUGCGGAAAAUAACCUCGCACUCGCUGCCUAGUCUCAGAGACUAGCCAGCGUGUCGCCCCGAGUUGGCCUGCGGCCCGGGUGCGGCAUCAACAAGCAGGCUGGCGCCAAAAGAACGCCAAUCGCUGGCGGCGCGAGACUUCAGGAUGGCUAGUCCGACGGUAGGCCGGCUGUGAGCCAGCCGCCGGGCGAAACUUCAAUCUCAGCCUACGCUUGUAGACGCUCGGACGGUGCGUCCGCGGACGCGGGUUCGAUUCCCGCCGCCUCCAC
This 362-nucleotide transfer-messenger RNA is filed under the name uncultured Actinomycetes bacterium. RNAcentral's name for it is "uncultured actinobacterium transfer-messenger RNA, SsrA". It matches the Rfam family "transfer-messenger RNA". Rfam says of the family: Bacterial tmRNA, also known as 10Sa RNA or SsrA, is named for its dual tRNA and mRNA-like properties. Its role is to liberate the mRNA from a stalled ribosome. The record is from RNAcentral. Lineage: Bacteria; Bacillati; Actinomycetota; Actinomycetes.